AAGGGUAUUUGGAAUAUUAUGGGUAUAUAUAUGCAUGGGAAUAGAACUUUUAAAAGUAUAUUUUCAUUGAUUAUAGAUUUAUUAUCCUUGUAGACUUAUUAUUUUGUAGUAAUUAACAGGGUAAAAAGGGUAUAAAGGGGUGUAAGUAAAUGAGUUUUACUUCUGCCUACUCCUUUUUGCAUGUG
This is a long non-coding RNA of Etheostoma cragini (Arkansas darter), 185 nucleotides long. RefSeq lists it as uncharacterized. The record is from RefSeq and is a predicted model, not a curated record. NCBI's taxonomy places the organism in Eukaryota, Metazoa, Chordata, Actinopteri, Perciformes, Percidae. The transcript is spliced from 3 exons.